This 823-nucleotide ribosomal RNA is filed under the name uncultured bacterium. Its description in RNAcentral is "bacterial SSU rRNA". It matches the Rfam family "Bacterial small subunit ribosomal RNA", at positions 8 to 811 of the family's 1533-position model. The record is from RNAcentral.
AGAGUUUGAUCCUAGGCUCAGGAUGAACUCUGGCGGCGUGCCUAAUACAUGCAAGUCGAACGCACAGCGAAAGGUGCUUGCACCUUUCAAGUGAGUGGCAAACGGGUGAGUAACACAUGGAUAACCUACCUCAAGGUUGGGGAUAACAUUUGGAAACAGAUGCUAAUACCGAAUAAAACUUCGUAUCGCAUGAUACAAGGUUAAAAGGCGCUUCGGCGUCACCUAGAGAUGGAUCCGCGGUGCAUUAGUUAGUUGGUGGGGGUAAAGGCCUACCAAGACAAUGAUGCAUAGCCGAGUUGAGAGACUGAUCGGCCACAUUGGGACUGAGACACGGCCCAAACUCCUACGGGAGGCUGCAGUAGGGAAUCUUCCACAAUGGGCGAAAGCCUGAUGGAGCAACGCCGCGUGUGUGAUGAAGGCUUUCGGGUCGUAAAGCACUGUUGUAUGGGAAGAACAGCUAGAGUAGGGAAUGACUUUAGUUUGACGGUACCAUACCAGAAAGGGACGGCUAAAUACGUGCCAGCAGCCGCGGUAAUACGUAUGUCCCGAGCGUUAUCCGGAUUUAUUGGGCGUAAAGCGAGCGCAGACGGUUGAUUAAGUCUGAUGUGAAAGCCCGGAGCUCAACUCCGGAAAGGCAUUGGAAACUGGUCAACUUGAGUGCAGUAGAGGUAAGUGGAACUCCAUGUGUAGCGGUGGAAUGCGUAGAUAUAUGGAAGAACACCAGCGGCGAAGGCGGCUUACUGGACUGUAACUGACGUUGAGGCUCGAAAGUGUGGGUAGCAAACAGGAUUAGAUACCCUGGUAGUCCACACCGUAAACGAUG